GAUGAACGCUGGCGGCGUGCCUAAUACAUGCAAGUCGAGCGAACAGACGAGGAGCUUGCUCCUCUGACGUUAGCGGCGGACGGGUGAGUAACACGUGGAUAACCUACCUAUAAGACUGGGAUAACUUCGGGAAACCGGAUCUAAUACCGGAUAAUAUAUUGAACCGCAUGGUUCAAUAGUGAAAGACGGUUUUGCUGUCACUUAUAGAUGGAUCCGCGCCGCAUUAGCUAGUUGGUAAGGUAACGGCUUACCAAGGCAACGAUGCGUAGCCGACCUGAGAGGGUGAUCGGCCACACUGGAACUGAGACACGGUCCAGACUCCUACGGGAGGCAGCAGUAGGGAAUCUUGCGCAAUGGGCGAAAGCCUGACGGAGCAACGCCGCGUGAGUGAUGAAGGUCUUCGGAUCGUAAAACUCUGUUAUUAGGGAAGAACAAAUGUGUAAGUAACUAUGCACGUCUUGACGGUACCUAAUCAGAAAGCCACGGCUAACUACGUG
RNAcentral lists this ribosomal RNA (497 nucleotides) under uncultured bacterium. RNAcentral describes it as "partial 16S ribosomal RNA". It matches the Rfam family "Bacterial small subunit ribosomal RNA", at positions 28 to 507 of the family's 1533-position model. The record is from RNAcentral.